AUGCAUGGUAGAAAUGGAGCAAGGUAUGGCAUCAUGGGCGUCGAUAUAGCUGAUGCAUAUAAGAAUGACCCUAUGUUGAAAGGGAUAACAUGCCUUCCCCUAAGUGCGACAGUGGAGGUGACUUUCCUGCGCCUUGUGGAGUACUUUAAAAACACAAGUGCUGCAGCAAACAAAGCAAUCGGCAACCCAUCAAUUAACUUGCCUGAACGUGUCCAGGAUAGCAUGAACAUCGAAAUGCAGAAAUCCGAGAUGCAUCAAUUGAUGUACACAUACUCUGAUGAUAGAAAUGUUCUUGGGGGUGAAGUGGACCUGAAAUUCACGGUUAAAGCGAGGAAGAGACAGGUGACCGUUCACCUGAAGUCAGAACAUACCUUCAGCAUAGACGAGUCUAAAGGGACCGCGGUUCGAAAAACUAUGACUUGUUCAUGCAACAAGCCACAACUGCUUCACAAACCCUGCUCCCAUUUCAUUACGGUCUGUCGCCAGAUCGGGGUUAACACCGUUGAAUACAUGUCCCCAUACUACAGCCUGCCCUGUCUUGUUAGCACCUGGAGGCAAAAAUUCAAUACGGUCUCACAUGACUACAGAUAUAUUAUGCCAUCUGAGUGUGAAACACCAACUUUGAUCCCAGACAAAAGACUGGAGUGUGGUCUUCCAGUUUGUGUGCUGACGGACUGCGUAUAA
Molecule: ribosomal RNA, 684 nt
Filed under: Triticum aestivum (bread wheat)
Lineage: Eukaryota; Viridiplantae; Streptophyta; Magnoliopsida; Poales; Poaceae
Description: partial small subunit ribosomal RNA
Source: RNAcentral